Molecule: transfer RNA, 72 nt
Filed under: Phrynosoma platyrhinos (Desert horned lizard)
Lineage: Eukaryota; Metazoa; Chordata; Lepidosauria; Squamata; Phrynosomatidae
Description: tRNA-OTHER
Source: RNAcentral
GCCAGCAUGGCAUAGUGGUUUGAGUGUUGGACUAUGACUCUGCAGACCAGGUUUUAAAUCCCAGUUCAGCCA